RNAcentral lists this long non-coding RNA (759 nucleotides) under Nicotiana benthamiana. Its description in RNAcentral is "long non-coding RNA (NBEN_LNC022858)". The record is from RNAcentral. Lineage: Eukaryota; Viridiplantae; Streptophyta; Magnoliopsida; Solanales; Solanaceae.
GGAAAUGUCGUUGGUCACAAGAUUUCCUAGAGUGGUAUCGAGGUUGAUCAAGCCAAAAUCAAGAUUAUUUCUAAGCUUCUUCCUUCUACCUCCGUCAAGGGUGUUCGAAGUUUCUUUGGCUAAUGCCGGGUUCUAUCGGCGAUUCAUCAAAGACUUCUCAAAAAUUGCAAAACCCAUGAAAAGCUUCCUAAAAAAGAGGUAAAGUUUGUGUUUGAUGAGAAGGGCCUCAAAGCCUAAGUUACUCAGACUCGGGUGCGGGUUUCCAAAAAGAGUACGAAUCUUGAGGCCGGAUCUUUCAUGAUCUAAAUUUAAGGAUUCGAGGAUACAACAAAAAAUAUAUUAAAAAUCUAAAAUAUAGCUAUAAAGAUAUGCAUAAACAUGAAAUAUUAUAUGGAAAACUUACAUGUAACUUGACUUCUGUAGAGUGUAAUAACCAAGUCUUAUGUUUUAAGUUGUAGGCUAGAAAAUACCAUCGCGGUUUGGAUUAAAUCUCGAUGAAAGAAUACAUCAAUGAGAAGUUAAUUUUAUAAGUUUAAUGACCCUUUCUUAUAACUUCAAAUUUUAUAAUGGAAAAUCGAAAAUAUAAAAAAGGAGUCAAAACUCGUCUUUAUUAAAAAAUCGAAGAAAAGCCCUUUCGUUAGAAGUAAGAAAGAACUUUUCUAGAAAAAAAGAAAGAGGACUGGAAUCUAUACAUUGAUUCACAAUUCUUUUUUGAACCGUAUGCAUCAAAAGGCGCAUGUACGGUUCCUAAGNNNNNNN